AGAAAUCCCUCUAAACGUCACUAGGCACAUGAGGAAAUGCCCUUACAAAGUACAUCCUUGAAUUUCACCCUAGUAGAGCAACCAAGCGCACAGCAAAGCCAAGACAAACACAGCACUGCUCUCUCCUGAAAAUGAAUGUGGUUUGGAAAUCUCCGCUGUUGCCAUAUCCAAGGCAAUGAUUCAUCCUCCCAGUGGGGUUUUGCCUUGCCUCCGCAUGUUUUGCAAUGCUGCCCGACUUUAUAACAGCGUGGCUGCACGCAGUGAAUCCUUGCUAGUUUCUCAGCUUGCCUGUGAGAGGGAAGGAGCUAAUCCUUCUAAUGAUGAUUUUCCUCUUUCACCACUUGGUCUUGCUGGCCACGGACUUAUUUCUCGCAAUGAUCCUUUCUUGCCUCCUUUAUGCCUUUGCAUUCAUUUCCAUCACGUUUUUGACCUGCUUCAUUAUCUUCUGGUCCUUCAGAGUCGUGGAGAAGAACAUUGACAUAAAAGGGAGAGCAAUUGUCAUUCUUGUAUCCAACAGCUCAAUUGGGAGGACGUUUGCUAGGAACUUGGAUAAAGCAGGUUUUAGGGUGUCUGCUGCACACUGGUCUUCUCAAGAGGAGGGAACAACUGCGAAAGAAGAGUGCUCUUCAGGAAUGGAGGUAGCACAGCUCCACAUGACGGAUGACGAGUACCAGAAGACAAUGAAAACCUUCAUAGAAAAUCACUUAUCCCUGAAAGGCACAUAUGGGCUGAUGAAGAAGCCAUCCCUGCUGAUAUGGGAAGAAGAGGAACCAGACACAUGCAGUUUAUCUGAGAGAAGAACCCCUCAUAAAUGGAAGAAGGCUUUCAGGGUUCCAGCUCUCUGCAUCACAGCCCUCUUUCGCCCACUGAACCGUGCCCUGACUUUCCUGAAGAAGAGAGUUUUGCAGCCCCGUAUGCUCCUGAAGUCCAAAAACUGAGAG
Molecule: long non-coding RNA, 941 nt
Filed under: Coturnix japonica (Japanese quail)
Lineage: Eukaryota; Metazoa; Chordata; Aves; Galliformes; Phasianidae
Description: lncRNA (ENSCJPG00005002020.1)
Source: RNAcentral